This 374-nucleotide ribosomal RNA is filed under the name uncultured organism. RNAcentral describes it as "partial 16S ribosomal RNA". It matches the Rfam family "Bacterial small subunit ribosomal RNA", at positions 527 to 896 of the family's 1533-position model. The record is from RNAcentral.
GUAGGUGGCAAGCGUUAUCCGGAAUUAUUGGGGCGUAAAGCGCUCGCAGGCGGUCUUUUAAGUCUGAUGUGAAAGCCCACGGCUCAACCGUGGAGGGGUCAUUGGAAACUGGGAGACUUGAGUGCAGAAGAGGAGAGUGGAAUUCCACGUGUAGCGGUGAAAUGCGUAGAGAUGUGGAGGAACACCAGUGGCGAAGGCGACUCUCUGGUCUGUAACUGACGCUGAGGAGCGAAAGCGUGGGGAGCGAACAGGAUUAGAUACCCUGGUAGUCCACGCCGUAAACGAUGAGUGCUAAGUGUUAGAGGGUUUCCGCCCUUUAGUGCUGCAGCAAACGCAUUAAGCACUCCGCCUGGGGAGUACGGUCGCAAAGACUG